RNAcentral lists this transfer RNA (72 nucleotides) under Schistosoma mansoni. Lineage: Eukaryota; Metazoa; Platyhelminthes; Trematoda; Strigeidida; Schistosomatidae. The record is from RNAcentral.
AGCAACUGGCCGAGUGGAUAACGCGAUAGCGUUUGAAGUGAAAGGUACUGGGUUCGAGUCCCAGAGUGAAUA